UACAGAGGUCUCGAGCGUUGUUCGGAUUCAUUGGGCGUAAAGGGUGCGUAGGCGGGUCUUUAAGUCAGGGGUGAAAUCCUGGAGCUCAACUCCAGAACUGCCUUUGAUACUGAGGAUCUUGAGUACGGGAGAGGUGAGUGGAACUGCGAGUGUAGAGGUGAAAUUCGUAGAUAUUCGCAAGAACACCAGUGGCGAAGGCGGCUCACUGGCCCGUAACUGACGCUGAGGCACGAAAGCGUGGGGAGCAAACAGG
This 253-nucleotide ribosomal RNA is filed under the name uncultured bacterium. RNAcentral describes it as "partial 16S ribosomal RNA". It matches the Rfam family "Bacterial small subunit ribosomal RNA", at positions 524 to 776 of the family's 1533-position model. The record is from RNAcentral.